RNAcentral lists this ribosomal RNA (554 nucleotides) under Proteus mirabilis. RNAcentral describes it as "bacterial SSU rRNA". It matches the Rfam family "Bacterial small subunit ribosomal RNA", at positions 35 to 582 of the family's 1533-position model. Lineage: Bacteria; Pseudomonadati; Pseudomonadota; Gammaproteobacteria; Enterobacterales; Morganellaceae. The record is from RNAcentral.
GCUUGCGGCAGCUACACAUGCAGUCGAGCGGUAACAGGAGAAAGCUUGCUUUCUUGCUGACGAGCGGCGGACGGGUGAGUAAUGUAUGGGGAUCUGCCCGAUAGAGGGGGAUAACUACUGGAAACGGUGGCUAAUACCGCAUAAUGUCUACGGACCAAAGCAGGGGCUCUUCGGACCUUGCACUAUCGGAUGAACCCAUAUGGGAUUAGCUAGUAGGUGGGGUAAAGGCUCACCUAGGCGACGAUCUCUAGCUGGUCUGAGAGGAUGAUCAGCCACACUGGGACUGAGACACGGCCCAGACUCCUACGGGAGGCAGCAGUGGGGAAUAUUGCACAAUGGGCGCAAGCCUGAUGCAGCCAUGCCGCGUGUAUGAAGAAGGCCUUAGGGUUGUAAAGUACUUUCAGCGGGGAGGAAGGUGAUAAGGUUAAUACCCUUAUCAAUUGACGUUACCCGCAGAAGAAGCACCGGCUAACUCCGUGCCAGCAGCCGCGGUAAUACGGAGGGUGCAAGCGUUUAUCGGAAUUACUGGGCGUAAAGCGCACGCAGGCGGUCUA